Molecule: ribosomal RNA, 498 nt
Filed under: uncultured Bacteroidota bacterium
Lineage: Bacteria; Pseudomonadati; Bacteroidota
Description: bacterial SSU rRNA
Rfam family: Bacterial small subunit ribosomal RNA
Source: RNAcentral
UUUAGUCAUGGCUCAGGAUGAACGCUAGCGGGAGGCUUAAUACAUGCAAGUCGAACGGUAAGGCUCUUUUCGGAGAGUACACGAGUGGCGCACGGGUGAGUAACGCGUACACAAUCUGCCCUUAGGUGGGGAAUAGCCCUGGGAAACUGGGAUUAAUGCCGCAUAAUACUAUAUUUUUCAAGGAUGAUAUAGUUAAAGCUCCGGCGCCUAAGGAUGAGUGUGCGUCCCAUUAGCUAGUUGGUAAGGUAACGGCUUACCAAGGCGACGAUGGGUAGGGGGCGUGAGAGCGUGAUCCCCCACACGGGUACUGAGACACGGACCCGACUCCUACGGGAGGCAGCAGUAAGGAAUAUUGGUCAAUGGAGGGAACUCUGAACCAGCCAUCCCGCGUGCAGGAUGAAUGCCCUAUGGGUUGUAAACUGCUUUUAUAUAGGAAGAAACGCCAUUAUUUAUGAUGGUUUGACGGUACUAUACGAAUAAGGACCGGCUAACUCCGUG